GCCUAUGUGGCUCAGUGGGUUAAAGCCUCUGCCUUUAGCUCAGGUCCCAGGGUCCUGGGAUCAAGUCCCACAUGGGCG
This 78-nucleotide transfer RNA is filed under the name Mustela putorius furo (domestic ferret). It matches the Rfam family "tRNA". Rfam says of the family: Transfer RNA (tRNA) molecules are approximately 80 nucleotides in length. Lineage: Eukaryota; Metazoa; Chordata; Mammalia; Carnivora; Mustelidae. The record is from Rfam by way of RNAcentral.